This 479-nucleotide ribosomal RNA is filed under the name uncultured bacterium. RNAcentral describes it as "partial 16S ribosomal RNA". It matches the Rfam family "Bacterial small subunit ribosomal RNA", at positions 28 to 507 of the family's 1533-position model. The record is from RNAcentral.
GACGAACGCUGGCGGCGUGCUUAACACAUGCAAGUCGAACGAAGCUUGAUUACGGAUUCUUCGGAUGAAGUAUGAUAUGACUGAGUGGCGGACGGGUGAGUAACGCGUGAGUAACCUGCCCUUCAGAGGGGGAUAGCGUUUGGAAACGAACGGUAAUACCGCAUAAUGUAUUUUGACCGCAUGAUCGAAAUACCAAAGAUUUAUCGCUGAAGGAUGGACUCGCGUCUGAUUAGGUAGUUGGUGGGGUAACGGCCUACCAAGCCGACGAUCAGUAGCCGGACUGAGAGGUUGAUCGGCCACAUUGGGACUGAGACACGGCCCAGACUCCUACGGGAGGCAGCAGUGGGGAAUAUUGCACAAUGGGCGCAAGCCUGAUGCAGCAACGCCGCGUGAAGGAAGACGGUUUUCGGAGUGUAAACUUCUGUUCUUAGUGAAGAAUAAUGACGGUAGCUAAGGAGCAAGCCACGGCUAACUACGUG